UCAUCGCGCUCUAGUGGCUCCUUGUGGCGGGCCAGGCGCCUGCAGGCUGACUUCGCCUCUCCUGAGCCCGUUGAGGAGUUGCAGCAAUGAGACAAGAUUCUAAUAACGAAAUUGGGGAGAAAAAGGGGGUAAAAAUUGCAACAAAAUAAAUAAUUACUGUUAUUUAUGCCAAAUUGCAAACCUUAUUUGCACCUUCUGUAUUCCAAAACCAAUGUGUGUGCCUGAGUCUUAUCACCUCUCAACUUGGUAAACUAUUUCAACCUCGAACACUAUUCUUUGGUCUGGUUCAGUCAUUGCAGGAAGUCCUGAAGAGCAUGAGUUUGAAGGCUUUUGUCCCAGCCCAGCUCUAACACUUGAUCAACAUAGUCCAUUGACCAUAACAUUGACCAUAAUGUCAGUGGGAUGAGGGGGAUUCAUUUUGAUGGUAUUGAUAUAUAACGCAUACUCCACUCUCAAGUUGAACUUGUUGACUGAUGCCAAGGCGGCGGUUGCUAAGAAGAAAGGAGCAGCUGUGAAACAGAAGAUUGCAGCCAAGGCAGCACUGGUCCACACCUGCCUUGUCUGUCGGAUGCAGACCCAAAGACAUUCAAGCAGCACUUUGAGAGCAAGCAUCCCAUGUCUCCAAUGGUCCCAGUACCGGUUGAUGUGCAGACAUAAGUGACCACACACACUCAAAUGGACCUAUAGCUGGGACACAUGGUGACCACGAUUUGAAUGCUUACAACUGAGAUGGAAGGACGUGACCUCGAGAAUGACUGGACAUGGGCUGGAUAUUUGUGACAACCUAAAAGGGGUGCAGACGCACACUAGCACCCCAUUUUAUGUUUAUUCCAUAGCCAAUCAUAUCUCUAGCUAACCCCUUAUUCCACACUAUGCCCCGUGGUCCCUCAACUUCUGACACUUUGGAAUUCUCCAUCUUAUCUCUAUAAACCCCCGCUACCUUCACCCGUUUUCCCUAUGCUGCUUCCUUCACUUAUUAUUCUCCUGAUUUGAUAACAUUUAGACUCAAUAACAUGUUUCAAGGUGCUUACACAUGGGCGGUGGUAAGCUGUGUAGAGACCAGUGAUCCAGGUUGUUGUCAGCUUGAAAGUUGUCAUUAAAACAUUGUUUGAUUGGUUGACCAGAUGAACUCUGCUCAUUGGUCAACCAUGCAUGGCGGCAGCUCAAGACUUCAGCUAAUGACAUCUUUUGGUGCCUCGGGCUCCGAGCCAGCUUCGCCGCUCAUGGGAGCGAGUACCACGAACAGGGCCGCUUGCAAAACUGCUUGCAUUUUGCCGCCAGCCACUCUACUCCAAUUGAAGUCUGUAACCUUUGCCGCUUACCAUGGCCUGGUACCUUUUUGUGGUGUACUGUUUUUGCUACCUUCAGACUGAAUGCCGUGGUAAAUGUGUUGCUCACAAUUUACAGCCGCAACAUGGACCUGUUAAAUUGAUAAGGGUGUUGAUAUAGUUGAGUUUAGGCAUGGCUUCCUUGUUUUGAGUCUGUUAAGUUUGUUUCUCAUUGACCUAGUAUUUUAUAUCAAAUCAAAUUUAUUUAUAAAGCCCUUCUUACAUCAGCUGAUAUCUCAAAGUGCUGUACAGAAACCCAGCCUAAAACUCCAAACAGCAAGCAAUGCAGGUGUAGAAGCACGGUGGCUAGGAAAAACUCCCUAGACAGGUCAAAACCCAGAAAGAAACCUAGAGGAACCAGGCUAUGAGGGGUGGCCAGUCCUGUUCUGGCUGUGCCGGUGGAGAUUAUAACAGAACAUGGCCAAGAUGUUCAUAGAUGACCAGCAGGGUCAAAUAAUAAUAAUCACAGUGGUUGUCGAGGGUGCAACAGGUCAGCACCUCAGGAGUAAAUGUCAGUUGGCUUUUCAUAGCUGAUCAUUCAGAGUAUCUCUACGGCCACUGCUGUCUCUAGAGAGUUGACAACAGCAGGUCUGGGACAGGUAGCACGUGCGGUGAACAGGUCAGGGUUCCAUAGCCGCAGGCAGAACAGUUGAAACUUGAGCAGCAGCACGGCCAGGUGGACUGGGGACAGCAAGGAGUCAUCAGGCCAGGUAGUCCUGAGGCAUGGUCCUCAGGACUAUAUAUCAAACCUACAGUACCUUACACAUCCAGUUGUUUCUCCAUUUGUAAGUCACCCACCAAAAAUCACAAUAUGUUGUUAUACAUGUUGUGUUAUUUGUGCUGGUCUAAUUCCUAAAAUGGAAAAAGCAGAAGAAUCUGUCCGCUAUCGGUUAGUAAUAAUAGUUCUUAUGGUGCUCUUCGAUGUCCCAGGUUUGUGGCAUUGAUGAAUAAUUAAUUUAAUCUUUACAGAUGUUUACAGUUGUGACCUGUCAUUCAGAGCAGGUGGGUUUUGAGCCCCACCUGUUUAGCUAAAAAAAAUAAAGAGGUAUAACUUAUUUUUGCCUGUUUUGCAUGUUAUUCUGACAUUAAUACAGAACGUGUCACAUAUCAAUUUGCAAACAAUGUAAAAAAAUAAAUGAAAAUCAUUGAGUUAAUAAAGCUGCAUACGAACAUU
Long non-coding RNA from Salvelinus fontinalis (brook trout), 2502 nucleotides. RefSeq lists it as uncharacterized. NCBI's taxonomy places the organism in Eukaryota, Metazoa, Chordata, Actinopteri, Salmoniformes, Salmonidae. The transcript is spliced from 3 exons. The record is from RefSeq and is a predicted model, not a curated record.